UAUGUGAUCGUCUCUCGCAUAUCAAUAAGCGGAGGAAAAGAAACUAACAAGGAUUCCCCUAGUAACGGCGAGUGAAGCGGGAAGAGCUCAAAUUUGAAAUCUUAAAGGGUUUCCCUUUACGAAUUGUAGUUUAAAGAAGUGUUUUCUGUUGAGGUUUUGGUAAAAGUUCUUUGGAAUAGGACAUCAUAGAGGGUGAGAAUCCCGUAUUUGACCUUUACUUUCAACUUUGUGAUACACUUUCAAAGAGUCGGAUUGUUUGGGAAUGCAGUCCAAAAUGGGUGGUAAAUUUCAUCUAAAGCUAAAUAUUGGCGAGAGACCGAUAGCGAACAAGUACCGUGAGGGAAAGAUGAAAAGAACUUUGAAAAGAGAGUUAAACAGUACGUGAAAUUGUCAAAAGGGAAGCGUUUGACACCAGUGUUGUUUUUCUGAAAAUCAAUUAAAGAACUGUUUAUGCUAAGUUGUUUAGACUUUAUCAGCUAUCUGUUUAGUUUUGAGCUUUUCUUUAAUGCACUUUUCAGUUAACAAGUCAACAUCAAUUUCUUUUGCUGUAAAAAAGCUUGAGGAAGGUGGCUUGAGAUUCGUCUUAAGUGUUUAUAGCCUCUUGCCUAUGCAGUCGGAGAGAUUGAGGUCUGCAGCGUAGAUCCUUCGGGGCUAAAUGCAUUUGUGCUAAGUUAUAGCAUUUUAUAGACAACUUGUUGACUAUGAUUUGUCUUGUAGCUUACUCGCUUAUGUUAUUUUACCUACGCUUAGGAUGUUGACACACGCGCGUGCUCG
RNAcentral lists this ribosomal RNA (774 nucleotides) under uncultured Neocallimastigales. RNAcentral describes it as "partial large subunit ribosomal RNA". It matches the Rfam family "Eukaryotic large subunit ribosomal RNA", at positions 24 to 643 of the family's 3401-position model. The record is from RNAcentral. Lineage: Eukaryota; Fungi; Neocallimastigomycota; Neocallimastigomycetes; Neocallimastigales.